Molecule: ribosomal RNA, 387 nt
Filed under: uncultured bacterium
Lineage: Bacteria
Description: bacterial SSU rRNA
Rfam family: Bacterial small subunit ribosomal RNA
Source: RNAcentral
AUUGAACGCUGGCGGAAUGCUUUACACAUGCAAGUCGAACGGCAGCACGGGUGCUUGCACCUGGUGGCGAGUGGCGAACGGGUGAGUAAUGCACCGGAACGUAUCCAAUAAUGGGGGAUAACGCACCGAAAGGUGUGCUAAUACCGCAUACGCCCUGAGGGGGAAAGCGGGGGGAUCGUAAGACCUCGCGUUAAUGGAGCGGCCGAUGCCGGAUUAGCUAGUUGGUGAGGUAAAGGCUCACCAAGGCGACGAUCCGUAGCUGGUCUGAGAGGACGACCAGCCACACUGGAACUGAGACACGGUCCAGACUCCUACGGGAGGCAGCAGUGGGGAAUUUUGGACAAUGGGCGCAAGCCUGAUCCAGCCAUUCCGCGUGAGUGAAGAAGG